Molecule: ribosomal RNA, 143 nt
Filed under: Metazoa environmental sample
Lineage: Eukaryota; Metazoa
Description: partial small subunit ribosomal RNA
Rfam family: Eukaryotic small subunit ribosomal RNA
Source: RNAcentral
GUUGGUGGAGCGAUUUGUCUGGUUAAUUCCGAUAACGAACGAGACUCUAGCCUGCUAAAUAGCUCGGGCGUCUCCGUCCGCGCCCGUCAGCUUCUUAGAGGGACUCGCGGCGUUUAGCCGCACGAGAUUGAGCAAUAACAGGU